Molecule: long non-coding RNA, 1524 nt
Organism: Mus musculus (house mouse)
Lineage: Eukaryota; Metazoa; Chordata; Mammalia; Rodentia; Muridae
Product: predicted gene, 35866
Exons: 2
Source: RefSeq, a predicted model, not a curated record
AAAGAACGACAACUGGAGCCUAGGACUGUUUUGGAAAACAUUACUGAAUGGAUUUUAUGUUAGUUCUGCAACGUUUUUAAUAGUUCCAGAAAAUCUGGAUAAAUGAGAACCAUAGGCCAUUUAAGGAUGCUGGAUGAGAGGCACAUCCCGAAUCCGAGACUUUCUGAGACCAAUACCAUAUACCUGUUUUUUUUUUUUUCUUUCUGCUGUCCUUAACCAGACCCAAGAGCAAUCAGAUCUUAAGGGUUGUCAUAGACAAGCAAGCACAGGUCUCUUUAGAUACCAGGACCCUUUGGGAGUUCAGUCUAAGUAACUUUGGAGCCAAGGCAGUUGUCAUUGGCUACUGAAACUUCAAAAUACAAAAUCGGUUAUUCCCUCUUAGAAGCUGGACGGUAAGACAGACAUCCAUGAGUAUGGCGCUAGGAACACAAGGGUGACAGAGCUGUAAAUAGGAGUAAAAAUAUGCAGAGAUGUGGCCUCUUCAUCCUUGCCCGUUUACCAAGCUGAACGGAACAGGGAGCAGAGAGGAAGUCAGUGUCGCUUGGCGAGUCAGACAUGGUCUUCCUGUAGACUGAUGUGGUAAACAUUAAGAUUUGCUGAAGCAUUCAGUGCUAUUUAGAAUAGCCUGGGAACAGAAACUGAGUGGAAUGACACAGAGUUAGAGUAUCCCCAGAUGGAGAUUCACGGAAGGGAAUUCAACCCUGGAUCAUGAAGUGUCCCAGGACCUUGCAUCUCCAAGUGUAAUCUCUGAGCGUUGGUCAUCUUCUGGCGUCACCUGGAGACAGACACAGAGGUGUUCACUCUCCUCUGGAAGACCUAAGGCAUUGGGACCUACAUCUUAAGACCUCCGUGUGACUCACGUGCACAUCGAGAUGGGAAGGUUCCCUGGAAGUAAACCGUUAGCUGAGUAUAUUCAUCAGAGUUCUCAACGUCUCUCAGUUGUGUAAGCUGGACUGCUUCACUUCCUUGGACCCUUUCAGAGUCACAAAAGAAAUCUUACACCCUUUGAAGGAAGCAAUUAAUCCAAGGGGACUUGACCUCCUAGACUGACGAUGGAAGUCACCAUGACUGUAGCCAGGGCAUCAGAAAUGCUUGCUGAGUUUUCCAUGGGAGCCUCUCGUCCCUAUUGUUUGGGGGUGGUGUGCUGAGAUACAGACUAGUACCGAAUGCAUCAGUCAGUCCUUACUGCACAGCCCAGUGGCAGCCAACACUAAUGGGAUUAAUUGGUCUUGACUGGUGGAAUUGUAAAAGUGUGUUCCUCCGAGGGUCAUAAACACCAAGCCUUAAUUGAAAUCAAAUGUAUAUUUUAAAAAAGUUUUCCACCGUCAUAGACUUCUUUCUGUUUUGGUUUUGUUGAUAUUAGCAAUGGUAUAGAAACCUGAUAAAGAAGGCUCGCUGUCAUUACUGCUUUGAAUACAAACUUGUCCUUCUUGGCACUCUAAGUAGCUGAUUAGAGAAGGGGAUAAUAUUCGACUUGAUUAUUGGUUACACAUAUGGAAUAAAUCCCAUUUUAAUCGCGUCUAA